CCAAUCAACCCAAAAGAACUGUAAAUAUACCAAAACCCUAAUACAUAUUAUUAUGUAAUGGCUAUUCAACGGCAAUCUGUAAAUCUACAGAUAAAGGGAGAGAAGGAUAGGGGUUAUCUGUAGAAUAAGAGAUAGGAAUAUACAGAACAGUUCUUUU
The submitters of this non-coding RNA (157 nucleotides) gave its source as unclassified sequences. The record is from Rfam.